AGAGUUUGAUCCUGGCUCAGAAUCAACGCUGGCGGCGUGCCUAACACAUGCAAGUCGAACGCGACUUAGGCUUCGGUCUAAGUUGAGUGGCGAACUGGGUGAGUAACACGUGGGUGACCUACCUUCGAGUGGGGGAUAACGUCCCGAAAGGGACGCUAAUACCGCAUAACAUCCUGCCUUUGAACAGGUGGAGAUCAAAGCCGGGGAUCGCAAGACCUGGCGCUUGAUGAGGGGCCCGCGCCUGAUUAGCUAGUUGGUGGGGUAAUGGCUCACCAAGGCGACGAUCAGUAUCCGGCCUGAGAGGGCGGACGGACACACUGGGACUGAGACACGGCCCAGACUCCUACGGGAGGCAGCAGUGGGGAAUUGUUCGCAAUGGGCGCAAGCCUGACGACGCAACGCCGCGUGGAGGAUGAAGGUCUUCGGAUUGUAACUCCUGUUGCUCGGGACGAAAAGC
Molecule: ribosomal RNA, 457 nt
Filed under: uncultured bacterium
Lineage: Bacteria
Description: bacterial SSU rRNA
Rfam family: Bacterial small subunit ribosomal RNA
Source: RNAcentral